RNAcentral lists this ribosomal RNA (253 nucleotides) under uncultured bacterium. RNAcentral describes it as "partial 16S ribosomal RNA". It matches the Rfam family "Bacterial small subunit ribosomal RNA", at positions 524 to 776 of the family's 1533-position model. The record is from RNAcentral.
UACGGAGGGUGCAAGCGUUAUCCGGAUUCACUGGGUUUAAAGGGUGCGUAGGUGGAGUGGUAAGUCAGUGGUGAAAUCUCCAAGCUUAACUUGGAACUGCCGUUGAUACUAUCAUUCUUGAAUAUCGUGGAGGUAAGCGGAAUAUGUCAUGUAGCGGUGAAAUGCUUAGAUAUGACAUAGAACACCGAUUGCGAAGGCAGCUUACUACACGAUCAUUGACACUGAGGCACGAAAGCGUGGGGGAUCAAACAGG